AGUGAACGCUGGCGGCAGGCCUAAUACAUGCAAGUCGAACGGCAGCACAGCAGAGCUUGCUCUGUGGGUGGCGAGUGGCGGACGGGUGAGGAAUACAUGGGAAUCUGCCCAGUCGUGGGGGAUAACGUAGGGAAACUUACGCUAAUACCGCAUGCGCCCUUCGGGGGAAAGCCGGGGACCUUCGGGCCUGGCGCGAUUGGAUGAGCCCAUGUCGGAUUAGCUAGUUGGUGGGGUAAAGGCCCACCAAGGCGACGAUCCGUAGCUGGUCUGAGAGGAUGAUCAGCCACACUGGAACUGAGACACGGUCCAGACUCCUACGGGAGGCAGCAGUAGGGAAUAUUGGACAAUGGGCGCAAGCCUGAUCCAGCCAUGCCGCGUGAGUGAAGAAGGCCCUCGGGUUGUAAAGCUCUUUUGUCCGGAAAGAAAAGCGCCGGGUUAAUACCCUGGUGUCCUGACGGUACCGGAAGAAUAAGCACCGGCUAACUUCGUG
Molecule: ribosomal RNA, 490 nt
Filed under: uncultured bacterium
Lineage: Bacteria
Description: bacterial SSU rRNA
Rfam family: Bacterial small subunit ribosomal RNA
Source: RNAcentral